AGUGAACGCUGGCGGUAGGCCUAACACAUGCAAGUCGAACGGCAGCACAGUAAGAGCUUGCUCUUACGGGUGGCGAGUGGCGGACGGGUGAGGAAUACAUCGGAAUCUACUUUUUCGUGGGGGAUAACGUAGGGAAACUUACGCUAAUACCUCAUACGACCUACGGGUGAAAGCAGGGGAUCUUCGGACCUUGCGCGAUUGAAUGAGCCGAUGUCGGAUUAGCUAGUUGGCGGGGUAAAGGCCCACCAAGGCGACGAUCCGUAGCUGGUCUGAGAGGAUGAUCGGCCACACUGGAACUGAGACACGGUCCAGACUCCUACGGGAGGCAGCAGUGGGGAAUAUUGGACAAUGGGCGCAAGCCUGAUCCAGCCAUACCGCGUGGGUGAAGAAGGCCUUCGGGUUGUAAAGCCCUUUUGUUGGGAAAGAAAAGCAGCAGGUUAAUACCCCGCUGUUCUGACGGUACCCAAAGAAUAAGCACCGGCUAACUUCGUG
Molecule: ribosomal RNA, 492 nt
Filed under: uncultured bacterium
Lineage: Bacteria
Description: partial 16S ribosomal RNA
Rfam family: Bacterial small subunit ribosomal RNA
Source: RNAcentral